AGAGUUUGAUCCUGGCUCAGGAUGAACGCUGGCGGUAUGCUUAACACAUGCAAGUCGUACGAGAGUUUUUAACUCAAGUGGCGGACGGGUGAGUAACACGUGAGAAUCUGCCUUUAGGAGGGGGAUAACAACUGGAAACGGUUGCUAAUACCCCAUAUGCUUUCGAGUGAAAUGGAUUUAUCCGCCUAAAGAGGAGCUCGCGGCUGAUUAGCUUGUUGGUAGGGUAAUGGCCUACCAAGGCGACGAUCAGUAUCUGGUUUGAGAGGAUGAUCAGACACACUGGAACUGAGACACGGUCCAGACUCCUACGGGAGGCAGCAGUGGGGAAUUUUCCGCAAUGGGCGAAAGCCUGACGGAGCAAUACCGCGUGAGGGAAGACGGCCUAUGGGUUGUAAACCUCUUUUCUCAGGGAGGAACUCAAUGACGUGUACCUGAGGAAUAAGCAUCGGCUAACUCCGUGCCAGCAGCCGCGGUAAGACGGAGGAUGCAAGUGUUAUCCGGAAUCACUGGGCGUAAAGCGUCUGUAGGUGGUUUAAUAAGUCAACUGUUAAAUCUUGAGGCUCAACUUCAAAAUCGCAGUCGAAACUAUUAGACUAGAGUAUAGUAGGGGUAAAGGGAAUUUCCAGUGGAGCGGUGAAAUGCGUAGAGAUUGGAAAGAACACCGAUGGCGAAGGCACUUUACUGGGCUAUUACUAACACUCAGAGACGAAAGCUAGGGUAGCAAAUGGGAUUAGAUACCCCAGUAGUCCUAGCUGUAAACAAUGGAUACUAGAUGUUGAACAGAUCGACCUGUGCAGUAUUAAAGCUAACGCGUUAAGUAUCCCGCCUGGGAAGUAUGCUCGCAAGAGUGAAACUCAAAGGAAUUGACGG
RNAcentral lists this ribosomal RNA (870 nucleotides) under uncultured bacterium. Its description in RNAcentral is "bacterial SSU rRNA". It matches the Rfam family "Bacterial small subunit ribosomal RNA", at positions 8 to 916 of the family's 1533-position model. The record is from RNAcentral.